Molecule: ribosomal RNA, 465 nt
Filed under: uncultured bacterium
Lineage: Bacteria
Description: partial 16S ribosomal RNA
Rfam family: Bacterial small subunit ribosomal RNA
Source: RNAcentral
CCUACGGGUGGCAGCAGUGGGGAAUAUUGCGCAAUGGGCGAAAGCCUGACGCAGCGACGCCGCGUGAGGGAUGAAGGUCUUCGGAUCGUAAACCUCUGUCAGCAGGGAAGAACGGGCACGGUGCUAAGCAGCAGGGAAUGGACGGUACCGGCAAAGGAAGCACCGGCUAACUCCGUGCCAGCAGCCGCGGUAAUACGGAGGGUGCGAGCGUUAAGCGGAAUUACUGGGCGUAACGCGCGCGUAGGCGGCAUGUCAAGUCAAGGGUGAAAUCCCCGCGCUCAACGUGGGAACUGCCUUUGAAACUGGCCACCUGGAGUGUGUGAGAGGUUAGUGGAAUUCCAGGUGUAGCCGUGAAAUCCGUAGAUAUCUGGAGGAACAUCAGUGGCGAAGGCGACUUUCUGGCCCAUAACUGCCGCUGAGGCGCGAACGCGUGGGUAGCAAACAGGAUUAGAUACCCCAGUAGUC